CCAACUGGUGCUCAAUCUGGGA
Molecule: non-coding RNA, 22 nt
Filed under: Arabidopsis thaliana (thale cress)
Lineage: Eukaryota; Viridiplantae; Streptophyta; Magnoliopsida; Brassicales; Brassicaceae
Source: RNAcentral